GUGAAGUCAUUGAUGCCAUGCUUCCAGGAAAAGCCUCUAAGCUUCAGAUUGUAAGGAAUCGUACCCCAAACCGACACAGGUGGUCGGGUAGAGAAUACCAAGGCGCUUGAGAGAACUCGGGUGAAGGAACUAGGCAAAAUGGUACCGUAACUUCGGGAGAAGGUACGCUCUCGACGGUGAAGUCCCUCGCGGAUGGAGCUAUUGAGAGUCGCAGAUACCAGGUGGCUGCAACUGUUUAUUAAAAACACAGCACUGUGCAAAAUCGCAAGAUGACGUAUACGGUGUGACGCCUGCCCGGUGCCGGAAGGUUAAUUGAUGGGGUUAGACUUCGGUCGAAGCUCUUGAUCGAAGCCCCGGUAAACGGCGGCCGUAACUAUAACGGUCCUAAGGUAGCGAAAUUCCUUGUCGGGUAAGUUCCGACCUGCACGAAUGGCGUAAUGAUGGCCACGCUGUCUCCACCCGAGACUCAGUGAAAUUGAAAUCGCUGUGAAGAUGCAGUGUACCCGCGGCUAGACGGAAAGACCCCGUGAACCUUUACUACAGCUUGGCACUGAACAUUGACCCUACAUGUGUAGGAUAGGUGGGAGGCUUUGAAGCGCAGUCGCUAGAUUGCGUGGAGCCGUCCUUGAAAUACCACCCUUGUAGUGUUGAUGUUCUAACGUCGACCCCUUAUCGGGGUUGCGGACAGUGCCUGGUGGGUAGUUUGACUGGGGCGGUCUCCUCCCAAAGCGUAACGGAGGAGCACGAAGGUGGGCUAAUCACGGUUGGACAUCGUGAGGUUAGUGCAAUGGCAUAAGCCCGCUUGACUGCGAGAAUGACAAUUCGAGCAGGUGCGAAAGCAGGUCAUAGUGAUCCGGUGGUUCUGAAUGGAAGGGCCAUCGCUCAACGGAUAAAAGGUACUCCGGGGAUAACAGGCUGAUACCGCCCAAGAGUUCAUAUCGACGGCGGUGUUUGGCACCUCGAUGUCGGCUCAUCACAUCCUGGGGCUGAAGUCGGUCCCAAGGGUAUGGCUGUUCGCCAUUUAAAGUGGUACGCGAGCUGGGUUUAGAACGUCGUGAGACAGUUCGGUCCCUAUCUGCCGUGGGCGUUGGA
Molecule: ribosomal RNA, 1092 nt
Filed under: Vibrio sp. 2-2(2)
Lineage: Bacteria; Pseudomonadati; Pseudomonadota; Gammaproteobacteria; Vibrionales; Vibrionaceae
Also listed under: 1 other name
Description: partial 23S ribosomal RNA
Rfam family: Bacterial large subunit ribosomal RNA
Source: RNAcentral